UUGUCACAGGUGACGUUUUAAAUGAACGACGGGCGGAACCCGGCUUCCACAUUUUAUUUGGACGACGGGCGGAACCCGGCUUCCACAUUGCAUUUCCGGGGUUUCCCCGAAGUCAAAUUAAGCCUGAUCACGCUCAGACGGACCACGCUGGUCGGAUCGCUCUCCUGGGGAAGAGAGUAAGAGACAGUCAGCGGACGAAGGGAUAGUGUGGAGUUUACGUGAGAAGGAGUGGACAUAGAGCCAUCGAGAGCACCGUGAACAGAGGUUAUUGGCAACCAAGCGUGAGUAACCGCUGUGAUACUUCUCUGCAAAUGUCUUGUAUGAAGAAUUACCCUGGUGUGUGUUCUUGUGUUUCGUGAGGUCCCUGGCCCCACUGGAGAGGAGAGCGUGGGUGAGCCGCGGUUGACCAGAAGCACGGACAAAGCACCGCCCGCCAGUAAGCCAGUGGCCCUGUGGGAAAGAGGAAGUGCAGGUGAGCCAGGGAAGUGAUAACCGACACGCCGGGCCUGUGAAUACCAUACAUCUCUCCCUCCUUUGUGUGAUCCAGUUGUUGCCCAACCAAUCUCUCGAGGUCGUCGUGGUCAGGUGGCAAGGACGAUCUAAAAUUCACGUGACGUGGUAUAAGAGUGCUGUGGGUGAGUUUCACUGAUUGAUGGUGUUUACGCUUGACUUGCUGUGCGUAUGCUGUGCUUGUAGCGUUCGAACUGCCCAGCCUCCGACGAGACACGAGAUGGUGACAUCUGUUGCGGCCUGAAUCCUGUAGGGAGAGAGAGAAAAUCAAGCCUUGUGCCCGGGGUGUGACAACGAGAGCUUCGUCUACUACUUACCUGAAUCAGUGGAGCUCUGUGUGGGAACGAGGAUCCCCCGGCACUGUGAGUAACGCAGCCUGUGAAAUAACCUGUUCUGUGCUUAUAGCAACAACCUACCUGAACCAGUGGAGCUCCGUGUGGGAACGAGGAUCCCCCGGCACUGUGAGUAACGCAACCUGUGAAAUAACCUGUUCUGUGCUUAUAGCAACAACCUACCUGAACCAGUGGAGCUCCGUGUGGGAACGAGGAUCUCCCGGCACUGUGAGUAACGCAACCUGUGAAAUAACCUGUUCUGUGCUUAUAGCAACAACCUACCUGAACCAGUGGAGCUCCGUGUGGGAACGAGGAUCCCCCGGCACUGUGAGUAACGCAACCUGUGGAAUAACCUGUUCUGUGCUUGUAGCGACUACCUACCUGAAUCAGUGGAGCUCUGUGUGGGAACGAGGAUCCCCCGGCACUGUGAGUAACGCAACCUGUGGAAUAAUCUGUUCUGUGCUUGUAGCAACUACUUACCUGAACUAGUGAAGCUCCGUGUGGGAACGAGGAUCCCCCGGCACUGUGAGUAACGCAACCUGUGGAAUAACCUGUUCUGUGCUUGUAGCGACUACCUACCUGAACCAGUGGAGCUCUGUGUGGGAACGAGGAUCCCCCGGCACUGUGAGUAACGCAACCUGUGGAAUAAUCUGUUCUGUGCUUGUAGCAACUACCUACCUGAACUAGUGAAGCUCCGUGUGGGAACGAGGAUCCCCCGGCACUGUGAGUAACGCAACCUGUGGAAUAACCUGUUCUGUGCUUAUAGCGACAACCUACCUGAACCAGUGGAGCUCCGUGUGGGAACGAGGAUCCCCCGGCACUGUGAGUAACGCAACCUGUGGAAUAACCUGUUCUGUGCUUGUAGCGACUACCUACCUGAACCAGUGAAGCUCCGUGUGGGAACGAGGAUCCCCCGGUGCUGCGAGCAUCAGUGGAGUGUUUGCCCUGGUCUGACUGUGCUCGAUUCUGCCUCCAGGAGAAGCGGAGCGCGCCACGGGUUGCUGGGCCAGAGCCCCGGCCCCCAGUCUUUUCCCCAAGUGGCCCUGGAGGCAAAGAAGAGCCACAUUAGUUUUAAAGUUCCCUUUUCCCCUUCCCCCUUUCCCCUUUUUAAAUAUUUAAUAAAGCUUGUUUUAAUUAUA
Misgurnus anguillicaudatus (oriental weatherfish) is the source of this 1981-nucleotide non-coding RNA. The record is from RefSeq and is a predicted model, not a curated record. Lineage: Eukaryota; Metazoa; Chordata; Actinopteri; Cypriniformes; Cobitidae.